AAAAAAAAAAAGAAAGAAAAGAAAAAAAGAAAGAGAGAAAAAAGAAAAGAAAAGAAACACUUUCUUAUAAGUUGUCCCUUUUCUAAUUAAAGCCAAGACAUAGACAUCCCAACCAUUCUAAUUUCUAAAUGCUCAUUCCACUUAUAAAUUUCUUUCUCUCUCUCUCCUUCUCUCAUUUGGUCAUAUCACUUAUGUAUUUUCGUUCAACCACUUCUGUCUGUCUAGACAUGCUAUCCCUCUUUUCCUCCUACCUUCAAGAUGCUAUCCAGAGAGAAAACAAAGCUACUUCUGCAGAGAUGAGGCUCUUUUUUACAUGGGGAUCCCAAGAGUGGAUAAGAUGAGAUGAACAAGGACAGACUCCAUGUUGUGCCCUUUUGCUUUCUCCUUUUGCAUUAAACAGAUUGGUAAUCUAGACCCUAUUCCUAUUCUUGAUUGCUUUUUAGAUGUUAGAGUGGAUGCAGGGCCUCUAGAUCAGAAGUCUGUGGUUUUAUUAAAAAACAAAACAAAACAACAUUGGACAGAAGCUGAUGUUCUUCCAAAAUCAGCAGCCAUGAAUGUCCUGAAGAAACCGUUGCUUCUAUAAAACACGAAGCUGAACAGGAGCUACCAAAAUUGAGGCUCUGAAAACUGUGUUUUCCUUUUCUACAGAAGUAUUAAGAAGGAAGAAUUUACUGUCCUUUGUUAAUAGGAACAAAUGUACAAUGUGAAAGAAAGAAAGUGAAGAAGAAGAAGACAAUUUCUCCCAGCCAAACCAUCAUCAUCGUUAUUUCUCUUCCUGUCAUAAAGGACAAGAGAAAGGGCCGGCUUUCUUCUAAUUCAAAUAUAUUGUAUUGGUGGGUUUAUUCACUCUCACAAAUUCUAUAUGUAAUAGCUCAAAUAAUAUUCCUUAAACACUUUCAUAAGUAGUACUUCUAAGUUCCACUUU
Molecule: long non-coding RNA, 925 nt
Organism: Cucumis melo (muskmelon)
Lineage: Eukaryota; Viridiplantae; Streptophyta; Magnoliopsida; Cucurbitales; Cucurbitaceae
Exons: 2
Source: RefSeq, a predicted model, not a curated record